UACAGAGGUCUCAAGCGUUGUUCGGAUUCAUUGGGCGUAAAGGGUGCGUAGGCGGCGCGGUAAGUCGGGUGUGAAAUCUCGGGGCUUAACUCCGAAACUGCAUUCGAUACUGCCGUGCUUGAGGACUGGAGAGGAGACUGGAAUUUACGGUGUAGCGGUGAAAUGCGUAGAUAUCAGGAAGAACACCCGUGGCGAAGGCGGCUCUCUGGGACGGUACUGACGCUGAGACGCGAAAGCGUGGGGAGCGAACAGG
RNAcentral lists this ribosomal RNA (253 nucleotides) under uncultured bacterium. RNAcentral describes it as "partial 16S ribosomal RNA". It matches the Rfam family "Bacterial small subunit ribosomal RNA", at positions 524 to 776 of the family's 1533-position model. The record is from RNAcentral.